CCGUCCGCUCUUCCCGAAGUGAGCGAAUUGCAUGUAUAGAUCCGUAGGGGCUUAUAGUUUAAUUGGUUGAAACGUACCGCUCAUAACGGUUAUAUUGUAGGUUCGAGCCCUACUAAGCCUACCACCCCCUUCUCUUCACCCGAUACAAGGCAGUCGAAGUCCUCGCCACCCUGCGGAUCUCAAUCUAGCGACGGCACCUGGAACCACACUGCUGCCGCUGCCCUUCGGGCACGCCUCCUACGCUGACCACUCACCUACGCUCUUGCAGCAUGCCCCCUUCGGGCAAUAUGGCUUUCGUAAGUAAUACGUGAAGCGGCUGAGCGAUAGCUCUCUUCGAUCGCUAUAUUCUUGCGAUAGCGAAGGCGUGGUUCAUCCUCUAAGAGAGAGUAGAUGCGGAUCGAAGAUCUUCGCGAGACGGCCCAAGCGAAGAUCGGAACUCGAAGGCUUGAGGAGCUGCCGGGAAGCCGUGGAGACGGCGGACUCGCCAGUCAGGCACACCCUGAGGCUGACUACAGCAGACCGGGAGGUUACAAUUCCCGUUUUCCUGUUUCAAUUUCCGGGAGUGAAUGUAGGAAGUGUGGACGGUGGAUCAGGUGUGAACAUUCAACCUACAGGCUUCUUAGCC
RNAcentral lists this transfer RNA (625 nucleotides) under Rosa chinensis. RNAcentral's name for it is "sRNA RchiOBHm_MTg0498441". The stretch from base 48 to 121 matches the Rfam family "tRNA". The record is from RNAcentral. Lineage: Eukaryota; Viridiplantae; Streptophyta; Magnoliopsida; Rosales; Rosaceae.